Zonotrichia leucophrys gambelii is the source of this 2387-nucleotide long non-coding RNA. RefSeq lists it as uncharacterized. The record is from RefSeq and is a predicted model, not a curated record. NCBI's taxonomy places the organism in Eukaryota, Metazoa, Chordata, Aves, Passeriformes, Passerellidae. The transcript has 2 exons.
AAGUGUAAUCCCAGAUCUGGAAAUUGUGAUCCUAGAUUUGGAAAGAAUGAUCCCAGUUAUGGCAGGUGUGAUCCCAGAUCUGCAAAGAGUGAUCCCAGAUCUGGAAAUUGUGAUCCCAGAUAUGGAAAUUGUGAUCCCAGAUAUGGAAAUUGUGAUCCCAGAUAUGGAAAUUGUGAUCCCAGAUCUAGAAAGAGUGAUCCCAGGUUUGGGAAGUGGGAUCUCAAAUUUGGCAAGUGUAAUCCCAGAUCUGGAAAUUGUGAUCCCAGAUCUGCAAAGAGUCUCACAGGUGUGACCCCAGGUCUGAAAGUGUGAUCUCAGACCUGGAAAUUGUGAUCCCAGAUUUGGAAAUUGUGAUCCCAGAUCUCACAGGUGUGAUCCCAGCCCUGAAGGCACAGUCAGCUGUGAGCUUUAGAGCUUCAAAGUGAAGAAAUUGGCUGAGAUAAAAAAAAAAAAAAUUUUUUUUUUUAAAAUCUCAGGAUAAUAAACAGCAGGAGCAGGGGUGUUGUUGUGAGCUGAGAUCUGUCCCUGCCUCAGCUCACAAGGGAGACAACACUGAACAUUUCCAGAGGGGCUGGGCAGGGUUUGAAACAUCUUGGGGUGCUUUGGGGGUAGAGCCCCCCCUCAGCUGGAGGGGCUUGGCUGAAUUUGGAUAAAAGGGACAAAACCAGAGGGGUUUGACUGAGCUUGACCAGAGGGACUUGGCUGAAUUUGGUCAGAGGGACAAAACCAGAGGGGUUUGGCUGAAUUUGGCCAGGUGGCCUUGGUUGAAUUUGGUCAGAAGGAUAAAACCAGAGGGGCUUGGCUGAAUUUGACCAGAAGGACACAACCAGAAGGGCUUAGCUGAGCUUGGCCAGAGGUGUUUUGCUGAAUUGGUCAGAGGGACACAACCAGAGGGACUUGGCUGAAUUUGGCCAGAGGGACAAAACCAGAGGGGUUUGGCUGAAUUUGGCCACAAGGGCUUGACUGAAUUUGGAUAAAGGGACACAACCAAAGGGGCUUGGCUGAAUUUGGUCAGAAGGAUAAAACCAGAAGGGCUUGGCUGAAUGUGGCCAGAAGGAUAAAACCAGAAGGGCUGAAUUUGGCCAGGUGGGUUUGGCUGAAUUUGGAUAAAGGGACACAACCAGAGGGGUUUGACUGAAUUUGGAUAAAGGGAUACAACCAGAGGGGUUUGACUGAAUUUGGCUAAAAGGGACAAAACCAGAGGGGUUUGACUGAGCUUGACCAGAGGGGCUUGGCUGAAUUUGGCUAAAGGGACACAACCAGAAGGGUUUGACUGAAUUUGAAUAAAGGGACACAACCAGAAGGGUUUGACUGAAUUUGGUCAGAAGAUUAAAACCAGAAGGGCUGAAUUUGGCCAGGUGGGUUUGGCUGAAUUUGGCCAGAGGGACAAAACCAGAGGGGUUUGGCUGAAUUUGGUCAUAAGGAUAAAACCAGAAGGGCUUGGCUGAAUUUGGCCACAAGGGCUUGGCUGAAUUUGGUCAGAGGGACAAAACCAGAGGGGUUUGGCUGAAUUUGGUCAGAAGGAUAAAACCAGAAGGGCUUGGCUGAGCUUGACCAGAAGGAGAAAACCUGUCCCCUCUGCUGCCCUGGUGUCACUUUUCCAUGCAGGGCCAAGUGUGGGCACAGCUGUGCCAGGGCAUCCCAAACUUUGAUUUUUUUCCCCAUUUUUUCCCUUCUUGUAUUCAAACCUGGGGAAAAAAAUAACAAAACCCCCAAAUUAACACCAACAUCACAACAAAAAACCCCAAACCUUAGAACCUGCAGAGCCAGGGUUUGGGGUGGCACUGUCCCCUCCUGGUGCCACUUCUCCAUGCAGGGACAAUUGUGGGCACAGCUGUGCCAGGGCAUCCCAAACUUUGAUUUUUUUUUUUUCCCUUCUUGUCUUUUCUUUUGUCUCAAGGAAAAACCACCCCAAAUUAACACCAAAAUCACAACAAAAAAACCAAUUGUGGGCACACAAAACCUGCCCCAAUUUCAGCCCCCAGGACCAAAGGAGGGCAGGCAGGAGUGAAGGAUGCCCAGCAGGGUUUUCCUCCUGUGUGUGUCACCUGUGUCACCUGUGUCACUUCCCUGCCGUGUUUGCCCAGGGUGUGCUGGAAUGUGGCUCUGCCUUCAGGUGUUUCCUGGAUCCUCCUGUGAGAAAAAUCCCUCACAAGGCUGCUCCUGCCACCCUUCAGGGCGAGGACAGGGAGUGUGGUGGCACUGGGAGCUGUCCCUUGUCCCCACAGGGUCCUGUUGUGGCCCCCAGCCCCUGUGGGAGCUGCUCGGGGCAGUGGCUGCACACCCUCCUGCUGCCUGUCCCAGCCAUGUUGUAAAUAGGUAACAAAUAUAUAUAUAAAAAAAAAAAAUAUAUAUAUAUAUAUAUAAUUUUUUUACAUGUUCACCUC